RNAcentral lists this ribosomal RNA (253 nucleotides) under uncultured bacterium. Its description in RNAcentral is "partial 16S ribosomal RNA". It matches the Rfam family "Bacterial small subunit ribosomal RNA", at positions 524 to 776 of the family's 1533-position model. The record is from RNAcentral.
UACAGAGGGGGCAAGCGUUGUUCGGAAUUACUGGGCGUAAAGGGCGCGUAGGCGGCCAACUAAGUCAGACGUGAAAUCCCCAGGCUCAACCUGGGAACUGCGUCUGAUACUGGAUGGCUCGAGUUCGGGAGAGGGAAGUGGAAUUCCCGGUGUAGCGGUGAAAUGCGUAGAUAUCUGGAGGAACACCGGUGGCGAAGGCGGCUUCCUGGACCGACACUGACGCUGAGGCGCGAAAGCCAGGGGAGCAAACGGG